UGGGGAAUAUUGCACAAUGGGCGCAAGCCUGAUGCAGCCAUGCCGCGUGUAUGAAGAAGGCCUUCGGGUUGUAAAGUACUUUCAGCGGGGAGGAAGGCGAUGCGGUUAAUAACCGCGUCGAUUGACGUUACCCGCAGAAGAAGCACCGGCUAACUCCGUGCCAGCAGCCGCGGUAAUACGGAGGGUGCAAGCGUUAAUCGGAAUUACUGGGCGUAAAGCGCACGCAGGCGGUUUGUCAAGUCGGAUGUGAAAUCCCCGGGCUCAACCUGGGAACUGCAUCCGAAACUGGCAGGCUUGAGUCUCGUAGAGGGGGGUAGAAUUCCAGGUGUAGCGGUGAAAUGCGUAGAGAUCUGGAGGAAUACCGGUGGCGAAGGCGGCCUCCUGGACGAAGACUGACGCUCAGGUGCGAAAGCGUGGGGAGCAAACA
RNAcentral lists this ribosomal RNA (427 nucleotides) under uncultured bacterium. RNAcentral's name for it is "partial 16S ribosomal RNA". It matches the Rfam family "Bacterial small subunit ribosomal RNA", at positions 355 to 774 of the family's 1533-position model. The record is from RNAcentral.